GGGCUGAGCAGCAGAGAGGCUGUUUCCUGCUUCACUUCUGCAGGAGGAAAACUCAUCUGCUGACUGUUUGACUUCAACAUCUCCAAAGACAUGUUGCUUUACCUCUGUUUACUCUUCUCUCUCUUCAUAGCCCUGGGCUCCAUGAACAGCAUAAAGCCAGAAAGAAGUGAAGAACAUGUUGCAGAGGGCAGAAACAUCAGCCUGACAUGUAAAUAUGAGGGGAGUAUCUCCAAUAUCCAGUGGUACCGACAAUACCAGAGAUCCAGACCAGAGUUCCUGCUCUACAUCACAGAGGCAGGAGGGAUCCAUCCCACUGAAUCUGAUUUCUCUGCUCACAUUGACAAAACAGAGAAACGAGUUGAUCUGGAGAUCAUCUCAGCUAAAGAGACAGACUCUGCUGUGUACUACUGUGCUCUGAGGCCCACAGUGACAGGAAACACCAACACUCUGUACAAAAACCUCUGGAGCAAAGACAACACAAUACUGAUCAACAUCCACCAGAGGGAGUCUCUCUCUGACAAACAUCAAUAGUUUGUGAUGAUACAGUAAUCUCAUUUACCUACUCGAUCAUUUGAAUUAUACUGUAUGUACAUUUCACUAUUAUGCAAAAACAUGUACUGCCUUUGAUUCACAUCCACAGGUGCAAAUGU
Notothenia coriiceps (black rockcod) is the source of this 650-nucleotide non-coding RNA. NCBI's taxonomy places the organism in Eukaryota, Metazoa, Chordata, Actinopteri, Perciformes, Nototheniidae. The record is from the annotation of a RefSeq genome assembly.